CACGUAGGCACCAAGCGUUAUCCGGAUUUAUUGGGCGUAAAGAGCUCGUAGGCGGUUCGGUAAGUCGGGUGUGAAAACUCUGGGCUCAACCCAGAGAGGCCACCCGAUACUGCUGUGACUAGAGUGCGGUAGGGGAGCGGGGAAUUCCUGGUGUAGCGGUGAAAUGCGCAGAUAUCAGGAGGAACACCAGCGGCGAAGGCGCCGCUCUGGGCCGUAACUGACGCUGAGGAGCGAGAGCAUGGGUAGCAAACAGG
This 254-nucleotide ribosomal RNA is filed under the name uncultured bacterium. Its description in RNAcentral is "partial 16S ribosomal RNA". It matches the Rfam family "Bacterial small subunit ribosomal RNA", at positions 524 to 776 of the family's 1533-position model. The record is from RNAcentral.